GUGCCAGCCGCCGCGGUACUACCGGCAGCUCAAGUGAUGUCCCAUAUUAUUGGGCCUAAAGCGUCCGUAGCUGGCCGACCAAGUCUCCCGGGAAAUCCACCCGCCCAACGGGUGGGCGUCCGGUAGAACCUGGCCGGCUUGGAACCGGAAGGCUCAGAGAGUACGUCCGGGGUAGGAGUGAAAUCCCGUAAUCCUAGACGGACCGCCGAUGGCGAAAGCACGUCGCGAGAACGGAUCCGACAGUGAGGGACGAAAGCCAGGGUCUCCAACCGGAUUAGAAACCCGGGUAGUCC
This 293-nucleotide ribosomal RNA is filed under the name uncultured bacterium. RNAcentral's name for it is "partial 16S ribosomal RNA". It matches the Rfam family "Archaeal small subunit ribosomal RNA", at positions 455 to 747 of the family's 1478-position model. The record is from RNAcentral.